This 399-nucleotide ribosomal RNA is filed under the name uncultured microorganism. RNAcentral describes it as "bacterial SSU rRNA". It matches the Rfam family "Archaeal small subunit ribosomal RNA", at positions 330 to 731 of the family's 1478-position model. The record is from RNAcentral.
GCGCACCAGGCGCGAAACCUCCGCAAUACACGAAAGUGUGACGGGGCCAUCCCGAGUGCCGUCCGCUGAGGACGGCUUUUCCCCAGUGUACACAGCUGGGGGAAUAAGGAGAGGGCAAGCCUGGUGUCAGCCGCCGCGGUAAUACCAGCUCUCCGAGUGGUGGGGACGCUUAUUGGGCCUAAAGCAUCCGUAGCCGGCUGGGCAAGUCCUCCGUUAAAUCCAACGAUUCAAUCGUUGGGCUGCGGGGGAUACUGUCCAGCUUGGGGGCGGGAGAGGCCGACGGUAUUCCCGGGGUAGGGGUGAAAUCCUAUAAUCCCGGGAGGACCACCAGUGGCGAAGGCUGUCGGCUAGAACGCGCCCGACGGUGAGGGAUGAAAGCUGGGGGAGCGAACCGGAUUA